This 825-nucleotide ribosomal RNA is filed under the name anaerobic bacterium B172. Its description in RNAcentral is "bacterial SSU rRNA". It matches the Rfam family "Bacterial small subunit ribosomal RNA", at positions 556 to 1384 of the family's 1533-position model. The record is from RNAcentral.
GGGCGUAAAGGGUGCGUAGGUGGUCUUUCAAGUCGGUGGUUAAAGGCUACGGCUCAACCGUAUUAAGCCGCCGAAACUGGAAGACUUGAGUGCAGGAGAGGAAAGUGGAAUUCUCAGUGUAGCGGUGAAAUGCGUAGAUAUUGAGAAGAACACCAGUAGCGAAGGCGGCUUUCUGGACUGUAACUGACACUGAGGCACGAAAGCGUGGGUAGCAAACAGGAUUAGAUACCCUGGUAGUCCACGCCGUAAACGAUGAGUAUUAGGUGUCGGGGGUUACCCCCCUCGGUGCCGCAGUUAACGCAUUAAAUACUCCGCCUGGGGAGUACGCACGCAAGUGUGAAACUCAAAGGAAUUGACGGGGACCCGCACAAGUAGCGGAGCAUGUGGUUUAAUUCGAAGCAACGCGAAGAACCUUACCUAAGCUUGACAUCUCUCAGAUCGGUAGUUAAUCCUACCUUCCCUUCGGGGCUGAGAUGACAGGUGGUGCAUGGUUGUCGUCAGCUCGUGUCGUGAGAUGUUGGGUUAAGUCCCGCAACGAGCGCAACCCUUGUCUUUAGUUGCCAGCAUUAAGUUGGGCACUCUAGAGAGACUGCCAGGGAUAACCUGGAGGAAGGUGGGGAUGACGUCAAAUCAUCAUGCCCCUUAUGCUUAGGGCUACACACGUGCUACAAUGGGUGGUACAGAGGGUUGCCAAGCCGCAAGGUGGAGCUAAUCCCUUAAAGCCAUUCUCAGUUCGGAUUGUAGGCUGAAACUCGCCUACAUGAAGCUGGAGUUACUAGUAAUCGCAGAUCAGAAUGCUGCGGUGAAUGCGUUCCCGGGUCUUGU